CCUACCCAUGCAGUGAACGUUAGCCGCCUUGAAGGGCCACCGUCCCACCUGAUUGGAACCCGGCCAGAUCCUACCGGAGGCAGCAGGGGAAUAUGCGCCAAUGGGCGAAGCCUGACCCCAGCGACGCCCGCUGAGGGAUGACGGCCUCCGGGUGUAAACCUUCUUCAGCAGGGACGAAGCCGCCAAGUGACCGGUACCUGCAGAAGAAGCACCGCCAACUACGUGCCAGCAGCCCGCGGUAAUACGUAGGGUGCAAGCGUUGUCCGGGAAUUAUUGGGCGUAAAGAGCUCGUAGCCGGCUUGUCACGUCGACUGUGAAAACCCGGGGCUCAACUCCCGGGCCUGCAGUCGAUACGGGCUGGCUUGAGUGCGGUAGGGGAGACUGGAAUUCCUGGUGUAGCGGUGAAAUGCGCAGAUAUCAGGAGGAACACCGGUGGCGAAGGCGGGUCUCUGGGCCGUAACUGACGCUGAGGAGCGAAAGCGUGGGGAGCGAACAGGAUUAGAUACCCUGGUAGUCCACGCCGUAAACGUUGGGCGCUAGGUGUGGGACCCUAUCCACGGGUUCCGUGCCGCAGCUAACGCAUUAAGCGCCCCGCCUGGGGAGUACGGCCGCAAGGCUAAAACUCAAAGGAAUUGACGGGGGCCCGCACAAGCGGCGGAGCAUGCGGCUUAAUUCGAUGCAACGCGAAGAACCUUACCAAGGCUUGACAUACACCGAAAACUCGUAGAGAUACGGGGUCCUUCGGGGCGGUGUACAGGUGGUGCAUGGUUGUCGUCAGCUCGUGUCGUGAGAUGUUGGGUUAAGUCCCGCAACGAGCGCAACCCUCGUUCCAUGUUGCCAGCACUUCGGGUGGGGACUCAUGGGAGACUGCCGGGGUCAACUCGGAGGAAGGUGGGGAUGACGUCAAAUCAUCAUGCCCCUUAUGUCUUGGGCUGCACGCAUGCUACAAUGGCCGGUACAGAGGGCUGCGAAACCGUAAGGUCGAGCGAAUCCCAAAAAGCCGGUCUCAGUUCGGAUCGGGGUCUGCAACUCGACCCCGUGAAGUCGGAGUCGCUAGUAAUCGCAGAUCAGCAACGCUGCGGUGAAUACGUUCCCGGGCCUUGUACACACCGCCCGUCACGUCACGAAAGUCGGUAACACCCGAAGCCCUCCCCAACCCGUAAGGGGGGGAGC
Molecule: ribosomal RNA, 1173 nt
Filed under: Cryptosporangium sp. H7
Lineage: Bacteria; Bacillati; Actinomycetota; Actinomycetes; Cryptosporangiales; Cryptosporangiaceae
Description: bacterial SSU rRNA
Rfam family: Bacterial small subunit ribosomal RNA
Source: RNAcentral